RNAcentral lists this long non-coding RNA (634 nucleotides) under Homo sapiens (human). RNAcentral describes it as "HSALNT0152083". The record is from RNAcentral. Lineage: Eukaryota; Metazoa; Chordata; Mammalia; Primates; Hominidae.
CCCAGGAGCGGUCUAUGCAUGGCGUCUGUGUCCAGCACACUUGCCCUCUUCCAGAACUCUGACAGGCGGGGUCUCACUGCCCGGUGCCACCCCUCUGAGAACCAUUCCUGGAGAAAAGACCUGUAGGCUGUGAUGUUUGGAGCUGGCACAGUCAUCUUGUCUCCUUGAAGCAUAACAUCAUCAACAUGCUGAGGAUGGAAGAGCAGAGAGCUGAAAGGAGCCGGGGCCCUGGUGAGCAUGGUGAGGUGCCAGUUCAGCCUUGGGAUAGCUUACUUCCAGUCCUCCUACUAAGGAAGCAGUCAAUGUACCUAUACUAUUCUUAGACAGAUAUUAUGUUCUGAAGGGAGUCACCCAAACUAUGCCACUUUAGCAUAAGGAUUAUUUUGAGCUGAAGACAAUUGAAAAGCAGCAGACUCAAGAAACGCUCACUACCUUUCUCUGUCUGCUGACAAAACAAGGCAUACAUUUCCUGUUGUGAAGGCAUCCCCUGCUCUCAUAUCAGGAAGGGAAAGACAACCUUUAUUACUGGAGUGGGGAAAGCAUGGAGAUGAGUCUGCACAAACAGACCUAUUAAAUAACCCUUACCAUCAACUGGUGUCCCCCAUAAAUUUACCUUCCCACAAUUUACUGCUCC